GCUUUUGGCUUUCCAUUCCACUAAUAUUUCUAUUAAGUGCGUUUACUAUAAGAAAAAAGCAUCUGGCUGGAAACUACAAACUGUUUCAUUUAAUUUUAAGAAUAAAAUUAACACAAUUUCUCUGCAAAACAAUAACCUAAUCCCCAGCCUAUCCAUACUACCAACACUGAAGAAAAGAGCCAAAAUUCCAUCUCUUAUUUACUCAUCAUCAUCAUCCUCAACAGCAGAGUUGAGUGCCGUCAACCUCUCAACAAACUUGGCCUUUCUUUCCUCGUAGGUCAUCUUCUUUAAGUUGUAUCUUUUAUGCUGAUUUGGAGGCUGCUUCUCCGCCUUCUUUGCUGUGGGAUCUGCACGUAUGGCAGCAUGAACUUUCUUGUACACCUCUUCCAUGUUAUCAGCUUCAAUGCCUUUCUUUAUGUACUCACUGAAGUGAGUCUGGAACUUCUCUAGUUCAUCUUCCAUCAACAUCCUCAUGUAUGCGGCAACAUGGCCGCCAUAGAUGUACUUCCGAUGGAGUUCGGCAUCAAGCUGCUUGCUCUCCUUGUUGAAUCCUGCAAAACUCUUGUCACUGUGAGGAAUAUCAAGUCCACCAUCCAAAGCUCCCUAAUCAAAGAAGAAAGCAGUUUCUUGUUACCAUUGCCAUCAUGGAGUGAGAAAGCUCAACAGAAAAGCAUGUUUUAAGGAGAACAUUAGAAUACCUUAAGAGCACCGAAAACACGAUUCCCAGUUGUUGUCCUCACAAGUCCAACAUCAAGGAGAGCACGAAAAGGCCUCCUGCUCCCAGCUGUUUCAACAGAAAAAUCUUCUCCAGUUCCCUGUACAUAGAAUGAGUUGCAUAUUUACACAUCCACACAAGGAAUGCUACCCAACUCGCACUAAUGCAUUUACACUACAAAUAAACCACAUACCUGAACAUUUCCCUCGUACUCCUCAUCCAUCUGAAGCAUUUUCAAUACUCAUCGAGCCAAUAGAACUCCAGUGCAGUAAGCUAGAUUUAUGGUAAUAGCAAUUAGAACAUCCGCAUUUAAGAGGCAAAUACUUUCAAAGUUCCAACAAAAAGUGAAUGUCAUACCAGGAGGUUUAUAUCCAUAGCUAUGAAUGAAAGAUGGAAGAUCUUGAGGUUGAAGAGGAGGCAAUCCAGGAGCCAAUAAGGUUUCAUUCUCGCUAAGGGGAAGUUUGAUCAGCCCUCGAGAAACAUGAUAAUAUAUAAUAUCAACAGCACAAGAUUGAGUG
This 1233-nucleotide unclassified non-coding RNA is filed under the name Hevea brasiliensis (rubber tree). Lineage: Eukaryota; Viridiplantae; Streptophyta; Magnoliopsida; Malpighiales; Euphorbiaceae. The record is from RNAcentral.